GACUUUGAUCCUAAUACCACUCCUUAAUAUAUGCCUAUCCUAUCAUUAUUUCACAACGCAUGUUUACUUUUGUUAUGAAAUAUAGUUUUGUUUAAAGGGUGGUAACGUAAUUUAUGGGUUCCAUUAGGAUUGUGUUUUAUUUUCUCUCCUCAUCCUCAUGCAUGUAAGAAUUUGCAUUUUUAUAAAUAUAUACUAUGAAUUCAGUCCAACCUUACAGUGUGAACAAUUUAAUUAAACGAAGCAUAAUCCUAAAAGAAAAUAAAACUAAAAAAAAAUAGUUAAGAUGGUAUAAGAUAAUUUUAUUAAGUUAAGAUGUUGCACUUUUCACUAAGUAAAUCAAACAUUUACAUAGUGAUUUGUCAUAAUGUGCAUAUUCCAUUUUUUCGGGUCUUUCAUUUCCAUAUUCCUCAGCUCUUUCAUAUAUUGAAGAUUGAAGAGAAUAAGAAAGACGCUUUUUAUAGGAAACGAAUUAAAGAGUGUUGACUUGCCGUAAAAGUAACUUAAAUUGUUCGUCGCCUGAGCAUGGAUUUAUAUAAACGUGAAGUACUAUACAAAACCCUAACCAACAUUUGAUCAAACGACAAUGAUGUCGGAACUUCCAGAGCAUUUGUUAGAAGAGAUACUCUACCGCGUUCCAGCUAUGUCUUUGAAACAGUUAGGGUCUACUUGCAAAGGAUGGAACUGUUUAUUCAAGGAUAGGAGAUUCACAAGAAAACACUUGGAUAAAGGCCCAAAGCAGUUUCUGAUUCACAUGUCUAAAGGGCUUAGGGUACGCUCGAUGAGUGUCGAUCUCCAUAGACUUCCACAUGUAAAAGUCACAGUUGAAUUUACCCUAAUCAACCCUAAAUAUCCUAGUUGUCUAGAUCAAGAUCAAUUCGAGAUAUAUAAAGUCUCUCACUGCGACGGCUUAUUGUUAUGCGUCUGCGUCACCAAGGAGGACAAUACUUGGCUCGCGGUAUGGAACCCGUGUACUGGUCAAACAAGGUGGAUUCAACCCAUGACUUAUAUGACAACUAUACUCUCGGAUCCUACCAAAAUAAUAGCUACAAUAUAUUGGCACACACUGGUUUUGGCUACGACCACGAAUUCCAAAUUUAUGAAAUUAACUCCAAUUCAUGGAGGAUUAUUGAUGCCACUUUGGACUUCAAAUUAGGGUAUAUUGGUCGUGGCGUGUCUUUGAAGGGAAAGACUUACUGGAUUGCUAGUGGUGAAGAAGAGAAACGGCUUGGCAAAUUCUUAAUCAGUUUUGAUUAUACGACAGAAAGAUUUGAACGUCUAUGUCUUCCGAAUAAGUAUCCUUGUUAUGCAACUCUGGCUCUAUCCGUUGUUAGAGAAGAGAAACUUUCCAUGUUAUCGCAACGCGGAAUUAAAUCAAAGGCAGAAAUAUGGGUGACAAAUAAGAUUGGUGAGACACAAGUGGUGUCGUGGAGCAUGGUCUUAGCUUUGGAUUUGCAGCCUAAACGUUGUAUUGGGGAAAGCGGAAGUUUCUUGGUCGACGAGAAGAAGAGAGUGGUCGUGUGUUGUGAUAAUAUUAGAGACCAAGGAAAAACCACGGUACACAUUUUUGGAGAGGACAACAAAGUGAAACAAGUGGGUUUUGAAGUCGGAUCAUCUCUGUAAUGUAUGUUUUAUUAUGUUCCAAGUUUGACUCAAAUCUACCAAGGUAUCACAGGCAAAAGAAAAAGGGACGAAUGAUCAUAGUGUUUGGUGUGGAUCUUGGAGCAACUAUCAGAUUUUUCAAUUAUGAUAAGUUUUCUUCUCAAUUUCAAUUAAUCGCUUCUUUAUGCCAUAAUUUAGAGGCAAUUGCUGUAAUAUUUCUAAAUUUUUUAGGCAUUCUUUACUUUGUACUUCUCCUUUUAAUUAUAUAGGUAGAUUUGAUGAUAAUUAGAAGAUUAAGACUUCAAAAAUGGAGAUUAUGUGAAAUUGAGAAAAGCAUCACACAAAGAAAAUGGUUUUUGGUGGAACAAUUGGGAUAUUUGCAUAACAUGAAUUUUGAUUCCGGUUUACUAUACAUUAUUUGUUUCUUGAUUCCGGUUUAGUAUAUCCUAGUACUUACUUAAAUCAAUAAUCCGGG
This 2074-nucleotide small RNA is filed under the name Arabidopsis thaliana (thale cress). Its description in RNAcentral is "ATSL017900". The record is from RNAcentral. Lineage: Eukaryota; Viridiplantae; Streptophyta; Magnoliopsida; Brassicales; Brassicaceae.